UUUAAGAAAUAGUAGCUAUGGCGUGAAACUAAAGAGAGAACAACAAAACUUCUUAGAAACCAGUGUCAGAGAUCAUAGAACGAGUGGUGACAUGAUGAGGGGCAACACAAAAAGCUCGGCAGGUUGAAGAUAUCAUCCCGUUAACGAGUCACCGAUCAUUGUCGGGGGUGGAGUCCGACUGAGGCUGAUCUCAAGCGGUAUUAAAUCUGAAAAAGCUACUAGUUUGUUUUUCAAAAAUUGGUUAGAUAUAUUAAAAAGAGACAAAACAAUGUGGUUGAAGUCAAUCUUGGAAACUGGGUGAGGGCGGAAAAAAAAAGAAUACAUGAUUUGAGUAGAUAAUAGAUUUCCAUUUUGGUACAUCUUAAAUGAUGCGAUUAAAUAAAAUCCAGUACGAUAAACUCUAACUAUCUAUCACAUGCCUAAUCCUAAAGGAUACAUGUUAGAACGCUAUAAAGAUCCCAUUAUCCCUUGUUUUGUUUGAAGGAUUUUGCUGUCCGAAAAGUUCUUAUCAUUUAUAAUUUGAAGAAGUAAACAAUGCAUAAUAUGAUGGUGCCUUUUCAUAUUUUAAAAAAAUAUUUAUAUUUCAUUUAUUUCUUAUUAUUAUAUGUUAAAAUUACAUGAAUAAUUUUUAUUUCACAUUAUAGUACGUAUCAUAUAUUUUUGUAAUUAUUUCAGUUAUAAAUAUUUUACUAACACUUUAUACCCAGUUUAGUUAGAUUUCAUUACAUAUUGUUAUAUUUUAUUUUAAGUAUUUAUUUUAAUAUUUUGAAAAUAUUAUUUAUUGGAUAAGUAUUGUAAAAGAUAAGAAGAUUUUCAGUGCUCUAGAGAAUUCUAUUGGAUAAGUAUGCAACAUAUUUUAGUAAACAUAUCCAGACAUUGGAAGAUAAGAAUCUAGAUAUUUGGUAUAAAAUCUAGAGAUUAUGAUAAUAUUCUCCAAAAUAUUUUAUUUUUAUUUUUGGAGCCUAUAAAUAGUUCAUUCCUCUUAUAUUUGUAACAUGCACAAAAAGUUGAACAGGUGAAACAAAAACAGAUUCAAAGAAACAAAUAGUGGUCUCUUGUAAGUUCUCAAAAUCUCAUUUAUAGUUGUUUAUUUCUUUCUGCUAGUACUAUAAACACUAUCGUUGAUUUAUCUACAACCUCAAUAUUUCUACACUCUCCCAUGCCCUUGUUUCAUUAUUCUCAGCAGUAAAUCACAUCUUUGCUCCCAUUUUGCUUCCUGUUAAAGAACUUUGUUUAUGGUCAUUUCAUAAGUUGUCUCCCAGAAAAUCCAAACUAAACAAUAGCCGAACCUUCAACGCUGAAAUAGUUGACUGCUCAAAUUCUUUCAAACAUCGUUUUCCUCCUUUCCAUAAUUUGUAUUUUAAAAUAACAUGAUGUUUUAAAGAAUCUUGACAGUUAAUUAUUUCUUCUUUGACGGUACUGCCUUUGUUUAGUUUGAUUCAGCAACACCACCACUAAAGAAAGUGAUUUUUCUAAUGUUAUAAAUUAUAACAUCUGAUGUUCCAUAUAGACUGUGAGAAAAUCACUAAACUUGUGAUGAAAACAAGCUGUAUGCCCACAGGAUGAGCCAAAAUUCUUGAAAAUUCUCUAGAAAUCGAAUUAGAGCAGUAAGAGAGAUAUUCACAAAUCAAAUGCAAAGGCGAGAAAAUCUCAAUAUGAUCCUAAGCUCAAUAUAAUCCUACGUGUGUAAUCUUUAGAUUUAAUUAUGGCUAAUUUUUUUGUGUGUUUUGUAUGAGAUGUUAUGCUUAUACUUGAUAACUAUAGACCUUUUAAAAAAAAAAUUAAGAAAAUAGAAUCAUAGAAAAGCCAUUAAAUAGGCCCGUUUCCCAAGGUGCGCCGCUCAGAUGGAUCUCUUCUGCCCUAGCUCCGCCGCUCCUUCCUCCUUCCUCUGAAGUAGCUCUGCUCUCUCUCCAUGGUCUUGAUGGUGACUGCUCCUCCAUCGUGUAUCAGGCCUCCUCCAGAUCCGCCGCCGUUACCGUGUAAGCCCCCUCCGCUUGAAGCUUGCUCUAUAAUCAUCUCUCCGGAACCUUCAGAACCUACAGCCGCCCUCAUUCGCCUCCUCGCUCCUCUACACAUCCUCGAACCUUCUGUCAGUUCUCCGGUUCCUGUGGUUGCAGUUACUCCUUUAAGUUUCUUUGCAACGACCAAGGGUUUAACCAGAUCCGUUUUCAUAUCAUUUGGAGUGUGAGUUUCUACUACGUGUAGAUUUCAGUCCAGUCCCACUUUCCAGAUCGAGCCAUAGUUUCUCUUUGUAGGAACCUCUCUUCGUUCAGAAGAUAUCUUCUCUGUUUCUUCUUGCAACAAGCCCUACAUGGAUGAGUAUUACCUUGUUUUAGGUAUUAGUUGUGUCAAGAUGAAUCAUUUACCUCUGAAUGAGGAUGUUGCCCUCUCUUUGAAUCUUCUCUUACCUCUGGUUGAGGAUGUUACAAGCUCUCUGCCUUUACCUCAGUAUGAGGAUCUGACUUUACCUCAGUAUGAGGAUGUUACUCUGUUUUAUCUCCUUUUAGUACCUCUGUAUGAGGUUCGUAUUAGGACCUUUGUCUUAUCGGCUCUGGUUUCUAUGGUUGCAGAGAUUGAUGCUUUUAAAAAAUGGAGGUUUCGGAUGGUAUAUCCAUGGUAUGUAUGUAGCCCAUUGCUCUCAAUGCUCUAUUCUAUAUGUGGUUUCAACCUUUGCUGUCGAAACCUUGGCGCUGCCGGAAGCUCUUCUUGCAAGAUCGUGUGCUGGACUCUCAAAGCUUCAAGUAUUUUCAGACUCUAAUGUCUUCUUCUCUGCCCUGCAUUCAGGGAUGGAUUUGAAUGGGAUUGCAGGUUGUCUUCUUGACAUCACAAACCUUGCCACUCCCUUCACUCUGUUAUCAUUUAAGUUUUAUCAGUGCACAGCAGUAUGUUUGGCUGUUGCUUUUGCUAUGUAUGUGUUUUUCAGACUAUGUUUCACUUUUACUCUCUUUUGAGUUAUGAAUGAAAGAAACCCUUGACAAAAAAAAAAGAGAGAGAAAAAUUUUGAAAGAAAAGAUCUUGCAUCUACUUUACUUAUAACUUAUAGAUCACUUUUACAUUGCAAAUAAUAAAAGGACAAUUUUUUCAGAUCAUUUGUGGGUCUUUUGUUAAUCUGAAUUUGAGACGUGCGAGUUGAAGACAUGAAUUCGAUAGUGGUUUAUUUGAAAAAGUUCAUCGAUCGAUCAUAAGGCGACUUCAAAGAAAAAAACAAAAAACUUUGUAAAAGGUGAUGAAUUCGACAAGAAAGUUAGAGAAGAGGAAACCCUAGUUCUUGUACCGAAUUGCGUGUGAAUGUCAAUGUCUUUCCUCAUCCUUUGCUUUCUCUUUUAAAAAUCGAUCGACUUGUUUCCUUUUCGCUCCAAAUCGGUAUACUUCUUUGACCGACUUUAAGUCAAUUGGGCCAGGCUAUGUUUACAUGAUGGGUUUUAUCUAAGGAGGGUGUAUUGAAUCUGAAAUUUGAAGUAAUUUUAUUUUUUAACGAGUUUGUAGAUGAUUGCAGGAGAAUUAGAGAAUUUGGUGUGAUUUUUGUUAAAACAUUCUAGAAUCUCAUCUAAAACAGUGAGAUUUGAAUUUUUAUUUUUAUAAUUAAAGAACUCCCCUCAAACACUCUAGAAACAGUUAAAGUACUCUAGAAUCUCCAACUUAAAUUUUGUUCAACAACAGCGGAUUUCAGAGUGUUUUAUGAAAUGACAAGUUAAAUAACAUUGGAUUUUAAAGUGUUUUUCAAAAUUCACGUUUGAAUAACAACAGAUUUUUCAUUUUAAUACAAAUCACUUGAAACUCUUAGUUGAAUACACCCCCGUAAGUGAUUUAAUUGAUUUCCAAUAGUGUUAGCCUUUGAUCAAUAUUUGUUUUCCAUAUACACUGAAAACGUGGGGGAAGGGGACAAGAUUGGCUCCAAGUGCUACAAAGUAGAGAAGUUACGUGGUACUACGUAAAAUCAAUACAAAACAGUUAGUCUGAUUCAUUGAAUAUAGUUAUUUCUUCUUCAUAAUCAUAUAUGUAUGUAUACGUUCCGGUUUGUGUUACUAACUAUCACAAAUCAUGAUGGCUGAUUUUUUUCAGAUAAUGAUAUGGUAAGUAUAGAGAGAGGCCACACUGAUGUUGGUCAAAGAAUCAAAAACACCCUAUCAAAUUGUGUGAUUUAUGAAAAAAGAAACAAAUAAUAUUUUUAAAGGAAAUUGGUAAACUAGAUGCUUUAAUCAUUAGGUUAAAUCUACGAAGUCUACUAAGGAAAAGAAAAAACAAGAACGAGCAAAAAGAAGAUAAUUUAUUCACUUCUAGGGCAAUUGAAUUUUGAACGUUGAGCUUGAUAAUUUUCUAUCAGAAAUUUGUUGAAUCUUCCUAAAAAUGUUGAAAUUUUUUGAAGAAAUCAAGCAUGAGGUUCAAGAAGUAACUCUUUCUAAACAUUGAGGAAACUAUCUAAAUUUGAGGUAAUUAUCUUCGUCAAAUAUGAUCUACCAAAACAAAGGAAAACUAUUUUCCUUUGUCCAUUAGCCAAUUAAGUUCUAUGAACAUAAGAAAUUGGACAAUUAACUACUGAAAUCGGAAAUGGUCUUUAUAUAAAUUUUCUUUUCUUUUUGUUAGUUUGGAAAUGAUCUAGCCUUAAAUAAAUAUAAGUUUUCCUUGGACUUUGAAAGAUGAGUGGAGUAGAUUUCUCCAAGUGCUACAGAAAAGAGAACGUGAAAGAAGAGCCAAAAGCUUAUAGAUUGUUUUUAUGGUACCCAUUCCAAUUGAUUAGUUACCCAUUAAUCUUUCCUCCAUUUGCUGGGUAUUCAAUGACUGAAGACGUUAGAAAAGGUCGCAGCCCAUUUACUUGAACUUUCAUUUUCACUGUAAGUUAGAGAUAUCAGACUCCCUAGAGAUACCUAUAUAUGUCUUCACCAAUACUAUGUUGGUAGCCCCAGUCUAGAGAUGAACAGGAAUGCCUUGGACUUUAAUCCAGAAGAGAAUUAAGGAAGGGAACAUCGUAUAGAUGGUGGGUUUCCAUCUUUGUAUUAUCACCAUCCAUUCUGCCAAAUUGAAGUCUAUUUUCAAUAAUCAAAAAAAGGUCAGACUCCAGAAUGAACUGGAGUUGGAACAAGCCUUUUCCUAAAGUUGUUCUCUCUUUAGUUUCACACCAGAGCUACUAUUUCUUAAUAUUCUUUGAGCAAUUCCCCUUAAGCUAUGCAUAAAGUCCUAUCAUAUUCUACCACAACUCUUUCAUGGUUUGCGUGAAACUAAAGACAGAACAACAAAACUCCUUAGAAACCAGUGUCAGAGAUCAUAGAACGAGCGGUGAGAUGAUGAGGGGCAACACAAAAAGCUCAGCAGGUUGAAGAUAUCAUCCCGCUAACGAGUCACUGAUCAUUGUCGGGGGUGGAGCUCGAUUGAGGCUGGUCUCAAGCGGUAUUAAAUCUGAAAAGCUACUAUUUUUUU
This 5415-nucleotide long non-coding RNA is filed under the name Brassica napus (rape). RNAcentral describes it as "long non-coding RNA (BNAP_LNC018314)". The record is from RNAcentral. Lineage: Eukaryota; Viridiplantae; Streptophyta; Magnoliopsida; Brassicales; Brassicaceae.